GCCUGGGUGGCUCAGUUGGUUGAGCAUCCGACUUCAGCUCAGGUCACGAUCUCGCGGUCCGUGAGUUCAAGCCCCGCCUCAGGCU
This 85-nucleotide transfer RNA is filed under the name Felis catus (domestic cat). It matches the Rfam family "tRNA". Rfam says of the family: Transfer RNA (tRNA) molecules are approximately 80 nucleotides in length. Their secondary structure includes four short double-helical elements and three loops (D, anti-codon, and T loops). Further hydrogen bonds mediate the characteristic L-shaped molecular structure. tRNAs have two regions of fundamental functional importance: the anti-codon, which is responsible for specific mRNA codon recognition, and the 3' end, to which the tRNAs corresponding amino acid is attached (by aminoacyl-tRNA synthetases). tRNAs cope with the degeneracy of the genetic code in two manners: having more than one tRNA (with a specific anti-codon) for a particular amino acid; and 'wobble' base-pairing, i.e. permitting non-standard base-pairing at the 3rd anti-codon position. The record is from Rfam by way of RNAcentral. Lineage: Eukaryota; Metazoa; Chordata; Mammalia; Carnivora; Felidae.